AUAUUUUGCCAUCUCCAGUAAUCCCGCCGACUGGUAACACUUUUAAUUUUCACGUCGAAGAAAUCAGACGCUUUCUGCGCGUCGCCCGCGCGAGUAUAAAAUAAUUUCAAUUCUGGCUUUAGGUACUUAUUUUAUUGAAGAAAUAUUUAAUCAAGAGCCAACUAACGCAUAGAUACAGAAAAGUAUUGAUUUUCGUCCAAGAUGGCGGACGACGAGCAAUUCAGCUUGUGCUGGAACAACUUCAACACGAAUUUGUCGGCCGGCUUCCACGAGUCGCUAUGCCGCGGCGACCUGGUGGACGUCUCCCUGGCCGCGGAGGGGCAAAUAGUGAAGGCCCACCGAUUGGUGUUAUCCGUCUGCUCGCCCUUCUUCCGCAAGAUGUUCACUCAGAUGCCGUCGAACACCCACGCUAUCGUAUUCCUGAACAACGUCAGCCACUCGGCGCUGAAGGACCUCAUCCAGUUCAUGUACUGCGGCGAGGUCAACGUGAAGCAGGACGCCCUGCCCGCGUUUAUAAGCACCGCGGAAUCGCUGCAAAUCAAGGGGCUAACGGAUAACGAUCCUGCGCCUCAGCCGCCGCAGGAAUCCAGCCCGCCGCCAGCAGCACCUCAUGUACAACAACAGCAAAUACCGGCUCAGCGGGUGCAGCGCCAGCAGCCGCGCGCCUCCGCCCGCUACAAGAUCGAGACCGUGGACGACUGCCUGGGUGACGAAAACAAGGGCACCACCCAGAUCGUCAUCCAGACCACGGCCGCACCCCAAGCCACCAUUGUACAACAGCAGCAGCCCCAGCAACAGCAGGCGGCGCAGCAGAUCCAAACGCAACAGCUGCAGACGGGAACCACGACGACGGCGACGCUGGUGUCGACAAACAAACGCUCCGCCCAGCGCUCCUCACUGGCGUCCGCCUCCUCGAGUGGCGGCGUGAAGCGCUCUAAGACAAGCACCUCCGCAAAUGUGAUGGACCCUCUCGACUCGGCUACUGAAACUGGAACCACGACAACCACCCAACUGGUGCCGCAACAGAUCACCGUACAAACCUCUGUGGUCUCUGCGGCGGAAACAAAGCUCCACCAGCAAUCGCCGCAGCAAGUUCGUCAACAGCAGGAGGAAGCCGAGUACAUUGAUCUCCCAAUGGAAUUGCCCACGAAAUCUGAACCUGACUAUGCUGAGGACCAUGGCGAUGCCGCCGGCGACGGCGAGGGCACAUAUGUGGAGGACGACACCUACGGAGACAUGCGCUACGACGACAGUUACUUCACGGAGAACGAGGAUGCGGGCAACCAGACUGCGGCAAAUACGAGCGGUGGCGGAGUGGCGGCGACCACUUCCAAGGCGGUGGUUAAGCAACAGUCCCAGAACUACAGUGAAUCAUCGUUUGUCGACACCAGCGCGGAUCAGGGCAACACAGAGGCUCAAGCCAAAUUCGACUACCAGAUCAGCGUGGAUGUCGGCGAGGCCACCAUGCAGUUGGCCAACGCCUCGUCCGGCGGAGUGGUCAACAGCAACUCCCCCUUCUUCAUCGUCAGCAAGUACGGCACCAAGCAGAUCAUGCUCAAGCAGCACACCUUCAAUCGUCACAUCUGCCGGGACGACGUCACCUAUUGGCGCUGCAGCCAGUUCGCAGUGUUGCGAUGUCGCGCGCGGCUCAAAACCAAAUUGGAUACCCUCACCAUCCUAAACAGCGAGCACAACCACGAAGUUAUCACCAAGGCGCGAAAGUACGGCUCUCUGAAGCGUCAGCGGGCGGAAGCAGAGGCGGCGGCCCGGGCGGAGCGUCGCCAGGACCCCCUGGAAACGCCUGCCACUUCAGCGCCACCAGCAUCGACAUAGCGCCCUAGUCUUAAGUCCAACUGUAAAAUACUGCAUCACCUCAACACUCGUCUGACUCAAUAAAAUACAAAUUCUGUUGCGUACUACUCGUACAUCACCGGCUUUCGAGGGAGUCGAAAACUGAAGAUCGGAGAGUUCACCUUCACUCGAAAUAAGACAUCGGGAUUAAAAACUUAUUGGUCUUGCGCUCGAGCGGGUGCUCACAAAUGCAAGGCCCGUGUGGUUACCGGGCAAGACCACGAUGUGACCAUAAAAUGCGGGCAACAUAACCAUCCGCCCUACUAAGGAAAAUAUAUUAAAACCGGCCAACUUAGGCUCAUUGUAUAGAAUCAAUUUAUAGCCUAUUUAUUAUAGAAUAUAAAUCUGAAAAAUCAAAACCGUAUUUUUUAGAAUUCGCACUUCAAAAGUCUUCAUAAUUGUAGUCCUUGUAUUUAAGCUUACUCAAAGGUAAUUUGUUAUUUUACAGUAUUCGAAGAUCUGGAUGACAUGAAGGGCGCCAUCAAGCAUAGCCUACUCACCUUUAUUCGGGGACAGCGUGGUUGCAAACUGCUGGCAUUUAAUGGACACAACUACGUGCGAAAUCGUCGCAGUAACCUGAAGACCUACUGGAUAUGCUCGAAAAAGGGCAGCACGAAAUGCAAUGCCCGGGUAGUCACCAAUGUUGUUGAAGGUGUGCACAAAAUAGUACUGGAAUCGUGCCAUCACACCUGCCUGAACACGGAGCGAAAAAAGCGGCUGUCAGUAACAAACGUCAUGGGGAAGGCACGAAACAAGUCGGGAAAAUCUGUAGCCACUGGCUUCAUAAAGGAGGAGGGUGACGAGGAUCUAACACUAGAGCUAAGGACACUCAACUUAAGCAUCGAGGACCUUAACAACUUGCAAUGAAUCGAGACUCAAAAUCUAGCCAUACCUUGCGAUUUAGGAGUAGACUAUUUAUGUGUGAACCUAAAAUAAAUUGUUUGUCUUGUGUAUUUAAGCAGAAAUGUACUAUAUGAUUUAAAAAAUUCUGUGCCUGUGAAAUUUUUAUUGUGUUACCUUAUACUAAUUCUGCCUGUUUUUCUUUUUUUAGUGACAUUCGAUGUAAUAACCGUUCCGCUAGUAAAACCCGAACAACACCCGCUGAUGAAGCGCGUUCGAUUGUCCAAAUCUAUGGAGGACGUACACUAUGUUCGUACUCCAGCCGGAAAUGGUGUUUUGCACUGUGGAGAGCAUCGUUACCUGCGGAACGCCGCCUACAAGGACAAGGUCUACUGGAAGUGCAGCAAGUGGCGCAAACAAUGCCGGUCCCGCGUCAUUACUCACAUCUUGCCCAAUGGCCAAUCCCGCUACGCCGUCAGCGGGGUGCACAAUCAUCCUUAGAUAAAGAACAUUCAGAGGGCUGAAUCGGGCCACAUAGAUAGCUAUAGAAAUAAAGCACCCAUUUGUAUAGAAAAGAAUAGUAAACAAAAUUGAACCGA
This is an RNA transcript of Drosophila erecta, 3290 nucleotides long. It is a transcript of the gene named modifier of mdg4, with no coding region annotated. NCBI's taxonomy places the organism in Eukaryota, Metazoa, Arthropoda, Insecta, Diptera, Drosophilidae. The record is from RefSeq and is a predicted model, not a curated record. The transcript is spliced from 8 exons.